This 253-nucleotide ribosomal RNA is filed under the name uncultured bacterium. Its description in RNAcentral is "partial 16S ribosomal RNA". It matches the Rfam family "Bacterial small subunit ribosomal RNA", at positions 524 to 776 of the family's 1533-position model. The record is from RNAcentral.
UACGUAGGGUGCGAGCGUUGUCCGGAAUUAUUGGGCGUAAAGAGCUUGUAGGCGGUUUGUCGCGUCUGCCGUGAAAAUCCGGGGCUCAACCCCGGACUUGCGGUGGGUACGGGCGGACUAGAGUGUGGUAGGGGAGACUGGAAUUCCUGGUGUAGCGGUGAAAUGCGCAGAUAUCAGGAGGAACACCGAUGGCGAAGGCAGGUCUCUGGGCAUUAACUGACGCUGAGGAGCGAAAGCAUGGGGAGCGAACAGG